RNAcentral lists this unclassified non-coding RNA (200 nucleotides) under uncultured Rhizopogon. Its description in RNAcentral is "sequence contains ITS2". Lineage: Eukaryota; Fungi; Basidiomycota; Agaricomycetes; Boletales; Rhizopogonaceae. The record is from RNAcentral.
UUAAGUUCAGCGGGUAGUCCUACCUGAUUUGAGGUCAAAAGUCAAUAAAGAAGACCUUAGAUAAUAAGAGUCGACAUAUUAGAGGCGCGAAACCUUCAUUCAUGCGCUUCAGCGAACGGCGAUCAUUAUCACGCCGAAAGCCUUGUCGCGCAUAGUCGAAAGUCGACCGCAAGCCGAUGCAUUUCAGGAGAGCCCGAGUC